Daktulosphaira vitifoliae (grape phylloxera) is the source of this 1244-nucleotide long non-coding RNA. RefSeq lists it as uncharacterized. The record is from RefSeq and is a predicted model, not a curated record. The transcript is spliced from 3 exons. Lineage: Eukaryota; Metazoa; Arthropoda; Insecta; Hemiptera; Phylloxeridae.
AAAUGAAUAAAGUUAUAUUAAAAAUUCAAAUCCCAUUUACUAUUAAAUUAAAAACUCAAAUAUUUUAUUAAAUUAAAAAUAUGUGUUUCCAUUUAAAAAAACAAAGUUUAAACCCUUACAAGGCAUAAGAGGCGAACUUAAAACGUAAUACAUAGUUAAUAAUUCAAUAAUAAUGUGUAACUAAAGAUAACCAAAAAAAAAAAAAAUGUUUAAAUAUAUAUAUUCUGUAAGUAAUUGAGUGGGUUAUGAUAAAAAAAUCACUCUGUAUAUAAGAGAUAACAGAUUUACAGGAAUGUAUUUGCCUGCUUUCAGAAAGCACAAUGUUCAAAAGUUAUGUGUGUAGCCCGUAAAGUUACACAUAGCUCGAGUUGGCAUUACCUCUCUCAAUGUAAUGACAACAAUCGUGUCCGGCACUACCGGCACCUUGCGAGCAUUACGUCGGUGUACGCGAUUGAAGUCGUACCGCAUCUCUUGAGUCUGAUGACUCGUGGCCAGUGAGCUGGCGUGUUUUUAAUUUGUUUCAUUGUUUUUUGGUUGGUAUUGGCCUGUUUAGGUGACAACCAACACUUUAUAUUACCAGUUACGUGCUAUUACUCGAGUGCUCAACGGAAAUAGAGCAGCGGAGGUUGACAUUCCAUACGCAAAAGGAACAAUUACUUUGGGAAGCAUUUUGGCAGUCGAUUCAACGUUAAUUGCACUAUGGAUAGCUGAUGGCUGGCAUAGUUAAAUAGAGAAGCGACAAAUUUAAUAUAGUCACUACCAAUAUUUGUACAAAAAACAUUAAAAUCAUUUCAAGUUAUGAUAGUUGUUAUGGUUGUAACGGGUAACGAGAAAUGAGGGUUCGAUUCCGGAGAGGGAGUCUGAGAAACGGCUACCACAUCCAAGGAAAGCAGCAGGCGCGUAAAUUACCCACUCCCGGAACAUGGAGGUAGUGACGAAAAAUGACGAUACUGGAUUCAUCCUUUGUAAUCGGAAUGAAUGAGUUCUAUAUCUCUAAAUAAGAAUAAAGUGUGUUAAUAUAUAUUUUUAAUAGUAAUUAGAAUAUAUAUAUAUAUAUAUAUAUAUACAUGUAAAGCGACUUACGUACGUAAACGUAUCAUGCACUAGGUACAGCCGUGUUUUGACGACGGGCGGGUCGGACUAACGUUAUAUCUAAGGUAUAUUAGGGUGUCCCUUAUUUUUAAAAUUUUGGAAUUUCUUUGGGCUUACCCCCCAAAUUUGUGUGUAUACAUAUAUAAAGUGGC